UACGGAGGGUGCGAGCGUUAUCCGGAAUCACUGGGUUUAAAGGGUGCGUAGGCGGCUCGGUAAGUCAGUUGUGAAAGCCCCUUGCUUAACGAGGGAGGUGCGAUUGAUACUGUCGAGCUUGAAUCGGGAUGAGGCAGGCGGAAUGUGGCAUGUAGCGGUGAAAUGCAUAGAUAUGCCAUAGAACACCGACUGCGAAGGCAGCCUGCUGGGCCUGUAGUGACCCUGAGGCACGAAAGCGUGGGGAGCAAACAGG
This 253-nucleotide ribosomal RNA is filed under the name uncultured bacterium. RNAcentral's name for it is "partial 16S ribosomal RNA". It matches the Rfam family "Bacterial small subunit ribosomal RNA", at positions 524 to 776 of the family's 1533-position model. The record is from RNAcentral.